RNAcentral lists this long non-coding RNA (1060 nucleotides) under Callithrix jacchus (white-tufted-ear marmoset). RNAcentral's name for it is "lncRNA (ENSCJAG00000054925.2)". The record is from RNAcentral. Lineage: Eukaryota; Metazoa; Chordata; Mammalia; Primates; Cebidae.
UCCAUCAUUGUCAAUUCACCUUAAAUUCUUGACUCUUUCCUCUUCAAGGGUGUUUCUGAAAGCAAAAGCUCUGUGUCCACACUACAUUAAGUAAACAACAGCCCUCUUACUGUGGUCUGACUGUUUAUGUCCCCCCAAAAUUUAUAUAUUGAAAUCUAAUCACCACAGUGAUAGAAUGAGGUCAUAGAUAGGAUGAGGUCAUGAGGGUGGAACCCUCAUGGUUGGGCUUAUUUCCAUACAAAAGACAUAUAGAGAGCUACCUAAUCUCUUCAAUGGUGUAAGGACAGAGUGAGAAGGUGCCAUCUAUGAGCCAGGAAACAGGCUCUCGUCAGACACCAAUGCAGCCAGUGACUUGCUCUUGAACUUCCCAGCCUCCAGAACUUCUUCCAUUGGCAGAAUUUACGUGGAAACAAGAGGACAAGAGAGCUGAAGGCAUUUCCUGCAUUGCUGAGAAGGGAAGAGAAGGGAGAAAAAUGUACCUGAGAACAAACAAAUAACCAGCACAACCCGAGCCCACCAGCGAUCAAUGGAAGAGAGAAAGCGAGCCAGUGCGAGCAGCGUUUCCUGAUGAAGAUCAUGGAGCAAGGUCCAUGAAGUCCUAAGCAAUGUCUACAAAAAUUCAUCUGACCCCAUUACUGACCCCAUUACACUCGAAGCUAAAGUGCACAGAGAGGCAAAUAAAAUACAGAAACAGGACAGGCGUGGUGGCUCACAUCUGCAAUCCCAACACUUUGGGAGGCGAAGAGGGAGGAUUCCUUGAGCAUAGGAGUUCAAGACCAGGCUGGGCAACAUGGUAAGACCCUCCCAUAUCUACAAAAAAAAAAAAAAAAUUUAAUUAGCUGGAUUCAGUGGCAUGCACCUGUGGUCCCAGCUACUCAGGAGGCUGAGGUAGAAGGAUCUCUUGAGCCCGGAAGUUUGAAGCUGCAGUGAGCUGCGAUCACGCCACUGCAAUCUAGUGUGGUGAACAGAGUGAGACCCUGUCCCAAAAAAGAAAAAGAAACAAUAUGUUUAUCAAACAUCUUGUGAAAGGUAAAUGGGAAUGAAUAUAUGAAGCUUCCAU